Molecule: non-coding RNA, 2533 nt
Organism: Ictidomys tridecemlineatus (thirteen-lined ground squirrel)
Lineage: Eukaryota; Metazoa; Chordata; Mammalia; Rodentia; Sciuridae
Source: RefSeq, a predicted model, not a curated record
UGGGCCUUGGUCUGGAGAGAGCGUGACCUUGCUCUCACAGGGAGGGUGUCACUCUUCCUCUUCUGGGCGGUCCCCGUCCUGAGCUGUGCUCCUCUGAGGCAUCCCAGGGAAGGAAGGGGGCAUGGCUCUGAACAUCAGAUGAAUGGCAGGGGAUGAAGCAGGACACAGUAGGCCUCAAGUCAGGAGGGAGAGAGAACAGUGGGCAGAAGGAGAGCCAAGUGAAGCUGGGGGAGGGCAGCCCAGAGGGACUUGGCCACCAUGGCAGCCUCAAGGGCCUCAGGAGCUCGGCACGGUGGCAGGGGCCACUCUGGCAUCGUUUGGAGCCAGCCUCAAUUGCCUGUGAACUGGCAGUUGUUUCCAAGGACUUGUACAUAGAGCUGGUGACAAAGGAAACAAGUAUGUGUGUCACCCAGCUUGACCCCAUGGCAACACACCUGGCACUCAUUGCCGCUCUUCCCUUCAGCUGAGACGUGAGUGCUCAUGGCAGAUCCCAAGAGCUCUGGCCAUGGUCAAGGGACAAACCCAGAUAAACUGAGUCACGGUUCUUCAUCCAAAAAUCAGCAGGUCAAGCAGAAGGAAGAUUCUGGUUGGAAUCAGACGGGGUCCCUUACAUGCUUCUGUCCCAAGGGAAGACAGGGUUCCUGUGAGGUCCACACCAGCUGCCUCCGAGCUCCAAACCAAAAGAACCACAGGAAGGGUCAGAAGCGCAGCAGUCAUGGAUGGGGAGGCAGAGGUGUCACCCAGGCCGAAUGGCCCCCAGGAUGAGGCCCCAGAGUGCAACCCUGGCCUGCUGACAAGAGGUGAACAACUAGCUCCUGCUCUUAUAGAGAAAGCCCCGCAGAACAGUAGCCCUCUGGCCUCUUCAGCAGCUGUUCCUGAGCAGAGAAACAGGAGGAAGAAGGGCCAGAAGAAGAAGCGGGCAAAUGCCAAGGCAGCCACCCAGGAGAGCAGCUCUGCCGCCUCCACGGCAGCCUCCUCAGAAGCCAUCUCCCAGCUGAAGCUCUGGAGGAGGAGGGGACAGAAGAACAUAUGGACUGUUGACCACAUUCAGGGGACAAAACUGAGGAUGAACAAGAGGAGAAGGCCCAGUUACCGCCCUGAGGACCAGGAAGCCUUCUACCGACUUCUGGAGGAUCCCGUUAUCCAGAGCUUCCUGGAGGCCGACAUUUUCCUCAAAGUGUCUGACAAGUAUCUGCUGUCCAUGGUGGUGGAGUACUUCGGCCGUGUUGGGCUUCCUGGACACCUCUACAACAGGGUCCACUUCUUCCUGGCUCUCUACAUCGCCUCCGACAUGGAGGAGGACAACCCUACUCCCAAGCGCAGCAUCUUCCAGUUCCUGCUGGGCAAGGAGCACUGGCCCGACCUCUACAAGGAGUUCCUGAAGCUCAAGGUGGAAUUCUUCCACGCCAUGGGGCACCGAGCCUGGGUCACCCCAGAGCUGUGUGAGGAGAUCCAGGCCCAGAAUCCACACCACUGGGUCUGGAGCAGGGUGCGCCAGUGCGCCCCCUAGGUUCCCAGGGCCUGGGAACAACAGGCAGGGCCAUGGAGCAGGAGCUGCAGAUGGUCCAGCUCCCGCCCACCCCUGCCUCCCCUUCCCCUCCCCCUCCCAUGACACAGCUGCCUCUUCCCAGGCUCCAGGCAGCUGUAGAGGCAUCAUGGGGCUUCCCUCAGACAGGCAGGACAGACGGAAGAGGAUGCAGGGUGAGCAUGGACCAUGGCGGCCUGCAGCUGGGAAUCCAAACCAGCCGAAUGAACCACUGCCCAUCUUUAAGCGGAUGUCAGCCAGCCAAGCCCUAACCCCUGCAUGCCCUUGGGAAGGGUCCAGCAGGAGACCCCCAGAACAGGAGCUUCAAUGGAGACUGAGGAGAGGGAGAGGCAGAAGGGAAAGUCCAGGGAGGGCCUUGGACCACGGAGGAGGAGGAACUGGAAGGAUGAGUCCAAAUCAACUACUGGAAGGUGGCAAGGAGGGAAGGAGUGGGCGCAGAAGGAGAGAAGCCAUGAGAAGAGGAGCAGAGCCCCUGCAGACAGGCAGGGUCCUGGGACUCUACUCGCAGCCCUUUCUGCAUAAUGGACUAGAUUACCCGACGGAGUCCUAUCCCACGAGAUGACCAAGAAGUCUCAGCCAGGGGACCAAAGGGUGGCGGUGCUGAGCGUGUUGGUGCAUAGACCCAAUGCGGAAACGAAAGCACAAAUAAGAAAUCAUCUGCCACCACAGUGUACAUCCUGGCAAUAUGGACAUAGCCCAGUUUGAAAGAUGAGAGGGAGGGAGGGGAGUGGAAGGGCUCAUGAGGAGGAGAGCUAAGAAAACAGUGGAAGCCAAGGUACCAGAAGGAGAUGAGAACACAAACACGAUCAUCCCAAUGCCAAAAGUAAUGCAUACAACAGAUUUAAAAGAGCAAAGAAAACAGAACAGAUACACAGAAAUUUAAUGUAAGAAAUAGAGCAAAUACAAUAUAUAAAUAAGACACUGCUAAGACCAGCCGUAUUAUUUGUUUUAAUAAAUUUGAACUCACUACAAGAAGAAAAAUUUUCA